GAUGAACGCUGGCGGCGUGCCUAAUACAUGCAAGUCGAACGAACAGACGGGGACUUUCCUCUUCUGACGAGUGCCGCACGGGUGAGUGUAACAUGUGGAUAACCCAUGUAUAAGACGGGGAUAACUUGGAAAAACCAGAGAUAACACCGGAUAAUAUAUUGAACCACAUGGUUCAAUAGAGAAAUACGGUUUUGCUGUUACUUGUUGAUGGAUCCGCGCCGGAUUAGCUAGUUGGUAUGGCAACGGCUUACCAAGUCAACGAUGCGUAGCCGGCCUGAGAGGGUGAUCGGCCACACUGGAACUGAGACACGGCCCAGACUCCUACGGGAGGCAGCAGUAGGGAAUCUUGGGCAAUGGGCGAAAGCCUGACGGAGCAACGCCGCGUGAGUGAUGAAGGUCUUCGGGUCGUAAACCUCUUUUAUUAGGAAAGAACAAAUGUGUAAUUAAAUGUUCACGUCUUGACGGUACCUAAUCAGAAAGCAACGGCUAACUACGUG
Molecule: ribosomal RNA, 497 nt
Filed under: uncultured bacterium
Lineage: Bacteria
Description: partial 16S ribosomal RNA
Rfam family: Bacterial small subunit ribosomal RNA
Source: RNAcentral